GACGAACGCUGGCGGCGUGCUUAACACAUGCAAGUCGAACGGAAAGGCCCUGCUUUUGUGGGGUGCUCGAGUGGCGAACGGGUGAGUAACACGUGAGUAACCUGCCCUUGACUUUGGGAUAACUUAAGGAAACUGGGGCUAAUACCGGAUAGAAGCUCCUGCUGCAUGGUGGGGGUUGGAAAGUUUCGGCGGUUGGGGAUGGACUCGCGGCGUAUCAGCUUGUUGGUGGGGUAGUGGCUUACCAAGGCUUUGACGGGUAGCCGGCCUGAGAGGGUGACCGGCCACAUUGGGACUGAGAUACGGCCCAGACUCCUACGGGAGGCAGCAGUGGGGAAUAGUGCACAAUGGGCGGAAGCCGGAUGCAGCAACGCCGCGUGCGGGAUGACGGCCUUCGGGUUGUAAACCGCUUUCGCCUGUGACGAAGCGUGAGUGACGGUAGUGGGUAAAGAAGCACCGGCUAACUACGUG
RNAcentral lists this ribosomal RNA (468 nucleotides) under uncultured bacterium. RNAcentral's name for it is "partial 16S ribosomal RNA". It matches the Rfam family "Bacterial small subunit ribosomal RNA", at positions 28 to 507 of the family's 1533-position model. The record is from RNAcentral.